Molecule: long non-coding RNA, 2537 nt
Filed under: Podarcis lilfordi (Lilford's wall lizard)
Lineage: Eukaryota; Metazoa; Chordata; Lepidosauria; Squamata; Lacertidae
Source: RNAcentral
UCUCUCUCUCAAAAAAGGAACCAUUCAUGGGCAGAGUUACUUGAACUUUUCUCUGUACACUCUUUAAUCACAUGAAAUAAAUUCAUGGAAAGAAAAAUAGUUACUUGACUUGGAUAGGAUCCUUCUCAUCUUGGCAAAAAUCAGAAAACUGACUUCCAACAAAAUCAAAUGGGUAUAAUAAUUAAGAAGGGAUUUCUCCUUUCAUAUGCAUGAUUUGGAAGUGACAGGAAUUUGGAAAUAUCCCAAGAUUCCCAAUGAUUAUCUAGUCGUCAUUUUUAUUUGAUUAUAUCCAAGUAGUAGAUGUUUAGACAAAAAUUGUUUCCAGGAAUUGGUUCCUAUGGUUGUACUUCAGGGAGCAAAAUGUUUAACAUUAUAAUUAGCAAAUAUAAAGCAACUCAAGCCAACUAUUCAAAGAGGAGACUAAUUAAAAUGGUUUGAGCAUCAGAGUAUGAAUUCAGAAGCUUCACCCAAAGUGUUUCCUAGUCAUCACACCUCACCUAAAAAGAAUGAUCAGGGUUCUGUUUAUAUGACCAUUCCUUCAACCUGUUGGCAUCAGUUUGUCUCAGGAGAAAAUGGCUGCCUUUGGGGGUGAAGUCAAACCAUUGUAGGGUUACAGCUCCUGCUGUGGCUGUAGAUACUGAAAUGGGAGAGACAUGCUUUGUUGCAGCUGGGGCAGAGGAAGACAAACAUUUUUUGAAACUAAACGGAUUCCAGUUGUGGGAACGUGUUAUUAUUUUUAUUAUUAUUAGUCAAAGUGGCUUGCAUAAAUGGAUUGUGAAGAGAGGGAUAUUCCAAAACUUCUAAAUACAAAUAACCUCAUAGAGUUUUACUCCAGCAGGAACAUUGCAAAUAAUGUUUCAGCUGCACAGUAGAAACCCUCUCCUUCCUUGGAGGUUUUUUAGCAGAGGUUGGAUGGCCAUCUGUCAUGGAUGCUUUAGCUGAGAUUCCUGCAUUGCAGGAGGUUGGACUGGAUGACCCUUGGGAUCCCUUUCAACUCCACGAUUCUGUGACCCAGUGAUAGGUAGCUGUGGCAUGCUGAAGGGAAGGAAGCAGAAAGGUGGCUGAUACUGCAGCGGCCCUCGGGUGCAUGCUCCCCGCAGCUGGGUUUAGUUGGGUCUUGCAACCCUGUGCUGGGACAUUGCAAGUGUUGGGGAGAGGGCUAGACCUGCCUUAUUUACUCCUGAUAUGUUCUGUGGCUAGAGCACUGGUUGCUGGCCCUCUUGGAGAGAAAGCUAAGUGGGAGAAUAAGGUACUAGGCUGCUUGGACCAUUUGUGAUCCACAAAUGCCUAUGCCUCCUAAGCAUUACAGAGGAAACAUCUGAAAGAAAUAUUGACUAAGUAUUGAGGUUUCGGUGUGUGACCUAGAGCCUAUACACAAAUCUCAUCCAUCACACCAUACUUUCUAUGCCAAUUUCAAGCACUUAGUCUUGUGAACCAAAUAAAGUUCACCAAGUAGAUAAAAUUAAGUGAGCCAGCUCACAUACGCUGGGGCCAAAGUCCAGUUCCAAAGCACUGAAGGAUGAAGGAAUGUCAUCAAGACUCAUAGUUCCAGGCUUGCGUGGCUUGCCUUAAAAACAGGGCGGAAUUUAAUACUUGUGUAGCAGGGAAUCUCUCUCAUUACCCCAACCAAUGAACGCCCACUCUCUAAUACCCUAAAUCUCCUCCCUCCACCCUGAUUUAUACUAAUACUCUGGCAGAAAUAAGUGCUGGAGGAAGAACAGAAAACAAGUAUUUCAGGAAAAGACUAGAAAGACGGGAGUUUGAAGACAUACACAACAUUAUAUAGGUAGAUUCAUCUGUGCAGCCACAGGGAAAUAACAAUUUCUGAUUUGGCUGCUGAAGCAGACCCUGUCCUUUAAGUAUAUUGCAUAUAAAGAACACAUUUUAAUUUGAAUACUGAUGAUGUGAGAGGGAAAGUGGAAAGCUGUCUACAACAGUGAGCUUUAACUAACCUUGUAUAACUCCUCCCCUCAAAAUGCUUAGACCCCGAUGCAUUACAUGUUGCUUCUGCUAUUCUACUCAGGAAAGAAAGACACUAGACCUUUGCGAUUGUGCUCUAAUGUUGUUUCUGAACCUCAUGUACAGAAGCAGUCGCUUUCCCAGUGGGGAAAUUUCCGCAUCGUAGAAUUCUUACUUCCUUAGGUACAGAAAUAAUGCUGAAGCAAAUUCUUCCAUACGUCGCAUUCAGAAAGGGUUUAGAGUGUUAGCUAACUGCUUUUCGUCUCUCACUGGGGAAGAAACCUUUUAAGGGUGUCAUGGCCAGAUAAGGAAGUGCAUUCAAAGGGCUUUCUAGAUGAAGGGAUAGCAAUUCCCAGUGGUCUACAAGUUUAUUCAACCAGGGCUAUUGUCUCAUUGUGAGUAAAGAUAGAACAGGCAUGGGUGACUGACUAGACCAAACCUCCCUUGGUAAUAGAUUCAUGAUGUUAUAAACCAUUACAUGAUGAAAAUCAGCAAGGCCAACCAAAAUUAUGGGCCCUGCUGCCUGAUGGCAGGCACCUUUCUGUCAUUUAUACACCUCAGAAAUGACAAAUACACCA